This 474-nucleotide ribosomal RNA is filed under the name uncultured bacterium. RNAcentral describes it as "bacterial SSU rRNA". It matches the Rfam family "Bacterial small subunit ribosomal RNA", at positions 328 to 793 of the family's 1533-position model. The record is from RNAcentral.
CGCUGUGACUCCUACGGGAGGCAGCAGUGGGGAAUAUUGCACAAUGGGGGAAAACCCUGAUGCAGCCAUGCCGCGUGUGUGAAGAAGGCCUUCGGGUUGUAAAGCACUUUCAGUAGGGAGGAAGGUAGUGUAGUUAACACCUGCACUAUUUGACGUUACCUACAGAAGAAGCACCGGCUAACUCCGUGCCAGCAGCCGCGGUAAUACGGAGGGUGCGAGCGUUAAUCGGAAUUACUGGGCGUAAAGCGCAUGCAGGUGGUUUGUUAAGUCAGAUGUGAAAGCCCGGGGCUCAACCUCGGAAUUGCAUUUGAAACUGGCAGACUAGAGUACUGUAGAGGGGGUAGAAUUUCAGGUGUAGCGGUGAAAAUGCGUAGAGAUCUGAAGGAAUACCGGUGGCGAAGGCGGCCCCCUGGACAGAUACUGACACUCAGAUGCGAAAGCGUGGGGAGCAAACAGGAUUAGAUACCCUGGUAG